GUUUUUAUAGUGUAAUAAUAUAACAUUUUACUUUUUCAUGGUAAAGCUGAAAUAUAAUUUCUAAAAAUA
RNAcentral lists this transfer RNA (69 nucleotides) under Aparapotamon binchuanense. RNAcentral's name for it is "tRNA-Glu". The record is from RNAcentral. Lineage: Eukaryota; Metazoa; Arthropoda; Malacostraca; Decapoda; Potamidae. RNAcentral also lists the same sequence under 2 other names.